This 431-nucleotide ribosomal RNA is filed under the name uncultured bacterium. RNAcentral describes it as "partial 16S ribosomal RNA". It matches the Rfam family "Bacterial small subunit ribosomal RNA", at positions 28 to 506 of the family's 1533-position model. The record is from RNAcentral.
GGUGAACGCUGGCGGUAUGCUUAACACAUGCAAGUCGAACGGUCACUUCGGUGAUAGUGGCGGACGGGUGAGUAACGCGUGAGAAUCUGUCUUCAGGUCGGGGACAACAGUUAGAAAUGACUGCUAAUACCGGAUGUGCCUUUGGGUGAAAGAUUUAUUGCCUGAAAAAGAGCUCGCGUCAGAUUAGCUAGUAGGUGGUGUAAGAGACUACCUAGGCUCCGAUCUGUAGCUGGUCUGAGAGGACGAUCAGCCACACUGGAACUGAGACACGGUCCAGACUCCUACGGGAGGCAGCAGUGGGGAAUUUUCCGCAAUGGGCGAAAGCCUGACGGAGCAAUACCGCGUGAGGGACGAAGGCUUUUGGGUCGUAAACCUCUUUUCUCAAGGAAGAUGAUGACGGUACUUGAGGAAUAAGCAUCGGCUAACUCUGU